Molecule: small RNA, 2188 nt
Filed under: Pongo abelii (Sumatran orangutan)
Lineage: Eukaryota; Metazoa; Chordata; Mammalia; Primates; Hominidae
Description: retained intron
Source: RNAcentral
GAUCAGGGUGAUGCGUGUGUGGGUACACACACAUGUCCCAUGUGAGUUGGUUUCCAACUCACCUCAGUGUUCACUUCCUGGAACAUAAUUGCCUGGAGUCAUGAGAAUGGACUGUAUUUUCUUUCUGGCCAUCCAGGAAAAAGAAUAUAAGCUCUAAAAAUCAUCCUAUGAUUUUAUCCUUCUACUUUCUGAAGCAAAUUCAUUAGCUCUUCAUUGGCCUGAAAAGUGACAUGACUUAGUAUUUUCAGUAAAUCUGUAACUGAGAAAAUAACUUUACACGCUGUAAAGAAUUAAACAAGAGUGAAUUGUUUCUGUCUUCAGUGCUCAGGUGUGACAGCAAUACCUGUCAUUAUUAAUUUCCACCAUCGACACGUGUUUAAUCCACAUGUCAUCUUGUUCAUCUUGUUCAUCUGUCACAUGUCACAUGUUCAUCUGUGUUCUUCACAGAGUAAAAGCCGCCACCAGUCUGUGCGAAUCGGAACUGCAUGGAAAACCCAAUUACUCAGCAGGUACUUAGAACAUUUCUUAUCUGAUCUUUUCCACGUGGGUAAAAUGUGUUUCUGCCCUUGGAGAGCUUCCCUGCCCAAUGGAGAUGUUGGCGUAUUCCAUGGAAAAGCCAUUUUGCAGAGACUUAGUGUCUGUCCUGCUGUGGACAAGUGCUGUUCCUGGGCUCUGUUCUGUGCAUUUCUGAGGAGCCGAUGGGUCCUGCCUUGCUGAGAACAAGCAACCGUCUUCCAGGAGCUCCUCAGCUCGCACUGUGACAGCUUCCUCCCCCUCUAAACCCCAACAGGAAGGAGCAGCAGAGAGAGCGGCGUUUUGGUGCUCAGGGAACAGACUGACGCUGGCCGAUGGGCACAGGUUCCUGCCAGGGCCCCAUGCCUGUGCCUCCGGGGUGGCCCCGACCUUGUCCUCGACCCCAAGGGGGGCUCAGGGGACAGGGAGGAGGAGCAGCACAGGAUGCUGAGCAGGGCCUCUGGAGUGACAGGGCGGAGGGAGACUCCAGGACCCACAAAGCCCCUGCCCUGGACAGCAGGAAAGCACAGUGAGGAUGGUGCCAGGCCAAGGCUGCAGCCCAGCAAGAAUGACCCACCCUCCCUGCGCCCCAUGCCCCGCGGCUCCUGCCUGCCCUACCCGUGUGUCCAGGGCACUUUCAGGAACUCACCCAUCUCUCACCCGCUGAGCCCGUCCCCCAGUGCCUACUCCAGCCGGACCAGCAGACCCAUGCGGGAUGUCGGUGAGGACCAGGUGCACCCUCCCCUCUGCCACUUUCCCCAGGGGAGCCUGCAGCACCGGCUCCCUCAGCCUGGAGCUCAGCGUUUUGCCACGAGGGGCUAUCCCAUGGAGGACGUGAAGCUGCAAGGUGUACCGAUGCCUCCGGGGGACCUGUGCGGUCCGACGCUGCUGCUAGAUGUGCCCAUCAAGAUGGAGAAGGACUCUGGGUCUGAGGAUGCUGCAGAUGGCUAUGUGCCCAGCCAGGUGUGGCUGGGGGCCACUGACAGGAGCCAUCCAGCCACCUUCCCUACCAGGAUGCACCUGAAAACAGAGCCAGACUCUCGGCAACAGGUGUACAUCUCGCACCUGGGGCACGGCGUGCGGGGGGCUCAGCCCCAGGGGAGGGCCACUGCUGGGCGCAGCAGGGAGCUGACCCCUUUCCACCCUGCACACUGUGCUUGCCUGGAGCCCACGCACGGCCUUCCCCAGCCGGAGCCUCCCCACCAGCUCUGUGCACGGGGCCGAGGUGAACAGUCCUGCGCCUGCAGAGCUGCUGAGGCUGCCCCUGUGGUCAAGCGGGAGCCCUUGGAUUCGCCCCACUGGGCUACUCACAGCCAGGGAGUGGUGCCCGGGAUGUUUCCCAAAAGUGCCUUGGCCACGCUGGUCCCGCCCCAAGCUUCGGAGUGCACAUUCCUGCCAUAGCGCAGUGACCACCGUCCAAGCUCAGAUCUGUCCGUCUACACUCAGAUGCGUUGGUGGCUGGGCUGCCCUGCACCUGGUCAGACCGGAGCCCGUCCUAAGACACACGCUUUGCAGAGCUGUGCAUGCGCAGUCUGCUAGUCUGUGUGUGCAGCAUACACAGUAGCCUAUCCUGAAUUCUGUAAAAUAUCCCAACAGUUCUUAAAUGAAAACUGGCCUUAAAUCUGUUCAAGCAUGACAGCAUUUCUCUUUGAGAAUUAAAAUCUUUGGGAAAGUG